Molecule: long non-coding RNA, 1062 nt
Filed under: Medicago truncatula (barrel medic)
Lineage: Eukaryota; Viridiplantae; Streptophyta; Magnoliopsida; Fabales; Fabaceae
Description: long non-coding RNA (MTRU_LNC000764)
Source: RNAcentral
CAAAAAACACAUUACACAUAGACUCUUCUCUCUCUAAGUAUGUUUUAGAGAGAGAAGAUCUGCAACACAAAAGCUUCUUCUCCGAUUGCCUUCAAUAUUCCGGCGCGGUGGCUUGCCGGCCCAACAGGGCGCCGCCGCCACGCCGGCGAACUCAACCGCCUUCUUUUUUAAAACAAAAAUACAAAUUCUAACUCCUUUUUCUUUCUAAAUCCAAAUCUCAAAUCAAAAACUUCAAACAAUAAACACACGGAUCAAGAUCUACAUUUAAACUUCUGAAACAAAACCUCAAAAAAACUUUAGAUCUAAGCUUCUAUACAGCAACAAAUAUGAAAUACUACCUUAAAGCCUUGCAAAAAGGAUGGUUCGGUGAGUUCCUCCCCUGCUCCGGUUCGGUUCAGCCGCGAGCUUUUCCCCUCCGGUUCGGUUUGGCCGCGAGCUUUUCUCCUCCGGUUCGGCUUCUGAUUCCUUCUUCGACUUAGUUCGUCACCGAUCCAAUUGUUUGAGUUGCUUGAUAUGAACGAGUUGUAAUUAGUGAAGAAUACGUGAAAGUAAGUUGUUGUUUGUCUCACUGUGUUGAUGCAAAGAACAGAUCCGCAAGCGAAUCACUAGAAAAAAGUGGUUUAUAUGAUAUUUGGAAUUUAAAUGUUCAUAGUGUUCUUGCGGUUCAUAUGAGUUUUUCGUUAUUUUGAUUCUGAGAUUGGGAAAGAGGGUUUGUUGAUUUGCGGCUGCCGAUCAUUGGAGUCUGUGAAAGUUUGUGCGGCCUCCCCCCUUCUCUUUUUUGCAGGUUUGAUUUUAUAGCAUUAGGGUUGAAGAGAAAAAGGAAACAAGUUGCAGAAACAGCAACCAUGUACUGGAUUUGGAAACAAAAAUUUGACCCUAUGAAUCUGCCUAUCUGCCUGAAUAUGAGGCGUAUGAAAAAAAUAUAUUUUUUUGGACCCUUGCUGGGAUUUUUUGGACUCAUUGACAUUAUAACACAAAAACAGAAAAUAAACUAAAAAAGAGUAACUAAUUUUAAAAUCAAAACUAAAAUUAAAACUAAUAAAAGAUGGAAAUUAAAUACUG